Long non-coding RNA from Hibiscus syriacus, 374 nucleotides. RefSeq lists it as uncharacterized. NCBI's taxonomy places the organism in Eukaryota, Viridiplantae, Streptophyta, Magnoliopsida, Malvales, Malvaceae. The transcript has 2 exons. The record is from RefSeq and is a predicted model, not a curated record.
CAGAGGCAUCCUUGCAGGAGAGAGGGCAAGAGCAUUCCAACUACAGGUUGAAGUUUUCCACCUCAAGCAAAGACUGCAGUCUAUGGAGAACCGAGCACGACUCCAAGGAAGCCAUUCAAUGUAUAGUGUUGGACCAAAACCGACUAGUUACAGCCAUCUUAUAUGGUAAGAGGAACAGUCCGAAUAAACAACUGCUCAACUGGGCCCGAUUUGAGCCCUUGUCGGAUAGAACUAAGUAAUGGAGCUUAUGUAAAAAAUGCUUAUGAGAAUAACUUUUCCAUUACUUCAAAGAAGUGUUGCAAUCUUGACUGUAUUUGUCAAAUUUAUGUAAUGCAAUCAUAAUUCAGAUUCUAAGUCAUGCUCUUCUUCUUGGA